Molecule: ribosomal RNA, 549 nt
Filed under: Naganishia liquefaciens
Lineage: Eukaryota; Fungi; Basidiomycota; Tremellomycetes; Filobasidiales; Filobasidiaceae
Description: partial large subunit ribosomal RNA
Rfam family: Eukaryotic large subunit ribosomal RNA
Source: RNAcentral
AGAGCUCAAAUUUGAAAUCUAGUAGCCUUCGGCUGCUCGAGUUGUAAUCUAGAGAAGUGUUUUCCGUGCCGGCCCAUGUACAAGUCCCUUGGAACAGGGCGUCAUAGAGGGUGAGAAUCCCGUCCUUGACAUGGACCCCCGGUGCUCUGUGAUACACUUUCAACGAGUCGAGUUGUUUGGGAAUGCAGCUCAAAAUGGGUGGUGAAUUCCAUCUAAAGCUAAAUAUUGGCGAGAGACCGAUAGCGAACAAGUACCGUGAGGGAAAGAUGAAAAGCACUUUGGAAAGAGAGUUAAACAGUACGUGAAAUUGUUGAAAGGGAAACGAUUGAAGUCAGUCAUGCUCUUUGGUAUUUAUAUCAUUGAGUGGGGUCAACAUCAGUUUUGAUCGAUGGAUAAAGGCACUAGGAAGGUAGCACUCUCGGGUGAACUUAUAGCCUAGCGUCAUAUACAUUGAUUGGGACUGAGGAACGCAGCAUGCCUUUAUGGCCGGGAUUCGUCCACGUACAUGCUUAGGAUGUUGACAUAAUGGCUUUAAACGACCCGUCUUGA